Molecule: non-coding RNA, 125 nt
Organism: Triticum aestivum (bread wheat)
Lineage: Eukaryota; Viridiplantae; Streptophyta; Magnoliopsida; Poales; Poaceae
Source: Rfam
CAUGUACUCCCUUCGUCCGAAAAUAUUUGUCAUAUAAAUGGAUGUACCUAGACGCAUUUUAGUUCUAAAUACAUCCAUUUUUAUUCAUUUCUACGACAAGUAAUUCCGGACGGAGGGAGUAAGUG